This 427-nucleotide ribosomal RNA is filed under the name uncultured bacterium. RNAcentral's name for it is "partial 16S ribosomal RNA". It matches the Rfam family "Bacterial small subunit ribosomal RNA", at positions 354 to 796 of the family's 1533-position model. The record is from RNAcentral.
GUAGGGAAUAUUGCGCAAUGGGGGAAACCCUGACGCAGCGACGCCGCGUGAGUGAUGAAGGCCUUCGGGUCGUAAAGCUCUGUUGCAGGGGAAUAAAAAAAUGAAGGUACCCUGUGAGGAAGGAUCGGCUAACUUCGUGCCAGCAGCCGCGGUAAGACGAGGGAUCCUAGCGUUGCUCGGAAUCAUUGGGCGUAAAGAGGGCGUAGGUGGCUUGGUAAGUCAGGUGUGAAAGCCCAGGGCUCAACCCUGGAAGUGCAUUUGAUACUGCUGAGCUUGAGUGUCGGAGAGGUUACCGGAAUACCUGGUGUAGUGGUGAAAUACGUAGAUAUCAGGUGGAACACCGGAGGCGAAGGCGGGUAACUGGACGAACACUGACACUGAGGCCCGAAAGCGUGGGGAUCAAACAGGAUUAGAUACCCUGUAGUCC